Molecule: ribosomal RNA, 490 nt
Filed under: uncultured bacterium
Lineage: Bacteria
Description: partial 16S ribosomal RNA
Rfam family: Bacterial small subunit ribosomal RNA
Source: RNAcentral
AUUGAACGCUGGCGGCAGGCCUAACACAUGCAAGUCGAACGGUAACAGGAAACAGCUUGCUGUUUCGCUGACGAGUGGCGGACGGGUGAGUAAUGUCUGGGAAACUGCCUGAUGGAGGGGGAUAACUACUGGAAACGGUAGCUAAUACCGCAUAACGUCGCAAGACCAAAGAGGGGGACCUUCGGGCCUCUUGCCAUCGGAUGUGCCCAGAUGGGAUUAGCUAGUAGGUGGGGUAACGGCUCACCUAGGCGACGAUCCCUAGCUGGUCUGAGAGGAUGACCAGCCACACUGGAACUGAGACACGGUCCAGACUCCUACGGGAGGCAGCAGUGGGGAAUAUUGCACAAUGGGCGCAAGCCUGAUGCAGCCAUGCCGCGUGUAUGAAGAAGGCCUUCGGGUUGUAAAGUACUUUUAGCGGGGAUGAAGGGAGUAAAGUUAAUACCUUGGCUCAUUGACGUUACCCGCAGAAGAAGCACCGGCUAACUCCGUG